UAGGGAAUAUUGGGCAAUGGGCGAGAGCCUGACCCAGCCAUGCCGCGUGCCGGACGAAGGCGCUCAGCGUUGUAAACGGCUUUUAUCAGGGAAGAACGGCAGUGGUGCGCCACUGUGUGACGGUACCUGAGGAAUCAGCACCGGCUAACUCCGUGCCAGCAGCCGCGGUAAUACGGAGGGUGCAAGCGUUGUCCGGAUUUAUUGGGUUUAAAGGGUGCGUAGGUGGGCGCUUAAGUCGGGCUUGAAAGCUGGUCGCUCAACGAUCAGAUGUGGCUGGAAACUGGGCGUCUUGAAUGGGUUGGCGGUAGCUGGAACGGGUCAUGUAGCGGUGAAAUGCAUAGAUAUGACCCAGAACCCCGAUUGCGAAGGCAGGCUACUACGACCGGAUUGACACUGAGGC
RNAcentral lists this ribosomal RNA (400 nucleotides) under uncultured bacterium. RNAcentral's name for it is "bacterial SSU rRNA". It matches the Rfam family "Bacterial small subunit ribosomal RNA", at positions 355 to 752 of the family's 1533-position model. The record is from RNAcentral.